This 480-nucleotide ribosomal RNA is filed under the name Triticum aestivum (bread wheat). Its description in RNAcentral is "partial small subunit ribosomal RNA". The record is from RNAcentral. Lineage: Eukaryota; Viridiplantae; Streptophyta; Magnoliopsida; Poales; Poaceae.
AUGCAUGCAAGGGCACGUAUGGUGCUCUUCUCUUCAAUGACUCGUUCCUUUUUCUUUUCUAUUCUUAAUACACCAGAUCGCAUCAAGAGAAACAUCAAGGGAGAACAGCCGAGGGAAGACCCGGAGGAAGUCCACCAUGAGAUCAAAUCCGGGCACACCAGAGCAAGGAGAAGACGCGCCCGUGGCGGCAGCGUCGACGAACAUGGCAGCCCCGCGGCCGAUCAGAUGACCAGAAACGACAGCCGCCGAGAUGGCGCAAGGCGGCCGGCAUGUCGGCUGUGGCAACCGCGCCACUCUAACCUCAAGCAGGAUCAAACGUCGAUGAUGAUGGCCAGACACAAGGAGGUGCUUGCUGCUGUAGGCAUCAUCAGCUGGCUAGCAUGCCCUUAUCUUUCUCUUGUUCCCGCAAUACGUGUUUUGUUUUGUUUCAUUGUUUUAUCAGGUUUCGCUGGAGAGAGGUACGCAUCGAGGAAGACCUAA